GCUGUGAUGAACACUUGGCGUUGAUCAAGUUUUGAUCUGAUAAAGCCUACCUGUCCUCUAAGAAGUUCUGAGCUG
Molecule: small nucleolar RNA, 75 nt
Filed under: Leptobrachium leishanense (Leishan spiny toad)
Lineage: Eukaryota; Metazoa; Chordata; Amphibia; Anura; Megophryidae
Description: Small nucleolar RNA SNORD61 (ENSLLEG00000013159.1)
Rfam family: Small nucleolar RNA SNORD61
About the family: U61 belongs to the C/D class of snoRNA which contain the C (UGAUGA) and D (CUGA) box motifs. Most of the members of the box C/D family function in directing site-specific 2'-O-methylation of substrate RNAs.
Source: Rfam by way of RNAcentral